AACAGGAUUAGAUACCCUGGUAGUCCACGCCGUAAACGAUGAGUACUAGGUGUAGGAGGUAUCGACUCCUUCUGUGCCGCAGUUAACACAAUAAGUACUCCGCCUGGGAAGUACGGUCGCAAGAUUAAAACUCAAAGGUAUUGACGGGGGCCCGCACAAGCAGCGGAGCAUGUGGUUUAAUUCGAAGCAACGCGAAGAACCUUACCUAGACUUGACAUCUCCUGAAUAGCCGGUAACUCGGCGAAGCCUUUCGGGGCAGGAAGACAGGUGGUGCAUGGUUGUCGUCAGCUCGUGUCGUGAGAUGUUGGGUUAAGUCCCGCAACGAGCGCAACCCUUAUCAUUAGUUGCUACCAUUUAGUUGAGCACUCUAAUGAGACUGCCGUGGUUAACGCGGAGGAAGGUGGGGAUGACGUCAAAUCAUCAUGCCCCUUAUGUCUAGGGCUACACACGUGCUACAAUGGUGAGUACAAAGAGACGCAAUAUCGUGAGGUGGAGCAAAACUCAAAAACUCAUCCCAGUUCGGAUUGUAGGCUGAAACUCGCCUACAUGAAGCCGGAGUUGCUAGUAAUCGCGAAUCAGCAUGUCGCGGUGAAUACGUUCCCGGGCCUUGUACACACCGCCCGUCACACCAUGAGAGUCUGCAACACCCGAAGUCCGUGAGGUAACCCGUAAGGGAGCCAGCGGCCGAAGGUGGGGCCGAUGAUUGGGGUGAAGUCGUAACAAGGUAACC
This 730-nucleotide ribosomal RNA is filed under the name uncultured bacterium. RNAcentral's name for it is "bacterial SSU rRNA". It matches the Rfam family "Bacterial small subunit ribosomal RNA", at positions 771 to 1501 of the family's 1533-position model. The record is from RNAcentral.